RNAcentral lists this ribosomal RNA (253 nucleotides) under uncultured bacterium. RNAcentral's name for it is "partial 16S ribosomal RNA". It matches the Rfam family "Bacterial small subunit ribosomal RNA", at positions 334 to 584 of the family's 1533-position model. The record is from RNAcentral.
UUUCCCUACGGGGGGCAGCAGUGAGGAAUAUUGGUCAAUGGUCGGGAGACUGAACCAGCCAAGCCGCGUGAGGGAUGAAGGUACAGAGUAUCGUAAACCUCUUUUGUCAGGGAACAAAGGCGGGGACGUGUCCCCGGAUGAGUGUACCUGAAGAAAAAGCAUCGGCUAACUCCGUGCCAGCAGCCGCGGUAAUACGGAGGAUGCGGGCGUUAUCCGGAUUUAUUGGGUUUAAAGGGUGCGCAGGCGGAUUUUU